UACGGGGGGGGCAAGCGUUGUUCGGAAUUACUGGGCGUAAAGGGCGCGUAGGCGGCCCUCUAAGUCAGACGUGAAAUCCCUCGGCUCAACCGGGGAACUGCGUCUGAUACUGGAGGGCUUGAAUGUGGCAGAGGAGCAUGGAAUUCCUGGUGUAGCGGUGAAAUGCGUAGAGAUCAGGAGGAAUACCGAUGGCGAAGGCAGUGCUCUGGGCUAACAUUGACGCUGAGGUGCGAAAGCUAGGUUAGCGAACGGG
RNAcentral lists this ribosomal RNA (253 nucleotides) under uncultured bacterium. RNAcentral's name for it is "partial 16S ribosomal RNA". It matches the Rfam family "Bacterial small subunit ribosomal RNA", at positions 524 to 776 of the family's 1533-position model. The record is from RNAcentral.